Molecule: ribosomal RNA, 253 nt
Filed under: uncultured bacterium
Lineage: Bacteria
Description: partial 16S ribosomal RNA
Rfam family: Bacterial small subunit ribosomal RNA
Source: RNAcentral
UACGGGGGGGGCAAGCGUUGUUCGGAAUUACUGGGCGUAAAGGGCUCGUAGGCGGCCAACUAAGUCCGACGUGAAAUCCCAAGGCUUAACCUUGGAACUGCGUCGGAUACUGGAUGGCUUGAAUUCGGGAGAGGGAUGCAGAAUUCCAGGUGUAGCGGUGAAAUGCGUAGAUAUCUGGAGGAAUACCGGUGGCGAAGGCGGCUCUCUGGGACGGUACUGACGCUGAGACGCGAAAGCGUGGGGAGCGAACAGG